Molecule: ribosomal RNA, 233 nt
Filed under: uncultured bacterium
Lineage: Bacteria
Description: partial 16S ribosomal RNA
Rfam family: Bacterial small subunit ribosomal RNA
Source: RNAcentral
UGGGCAACCUGCCCUUGACACUGGAAUAACAGUUGGAAACAGCUGCUAAUACCGGAUACGACCUUCGAUGGCAUCAUCUGGAGGUGGAAAGCUCCGGCGGUCAAGGAUGGGCUCGCGGCCUAUCAGCUUGUUGGUGAGGUAACGGCUCACCAAGGCUUCGACGGGUAGCCGGCCUGAGAGGGCGACCGGCCACACUGGGACUGAGACACGGCCCAGACCUCCGUACGGGAGCA